ACUGGAGUGGCCUUCCUUACCCGCUUAAACUUACCAAUGAUGCCCGACUUUUAGUGUGGCUUAUCCCCAUAUGUUCCCACACUCCCACUGGGACCUAACAUUUGCAGGCGCUAUUUAUCAUUCUGGCUAGUGGUGUGCUCAUCUGCCUACCUCGCUAAGCAGCCCUUGUUGUUAUUUUUAUAAUUACUGGGAGUCUUUUUCAUGUUGCACUCUGCCAGAGCUCCAGCUUACCACACACCUGUUAUACUCGGGACACAUGGAGAGAAGGGGGUGGGUCUGGCAGUGGAGGAAAGGGGAAGACAGCCUUCCUGCUCACUACGAAAAGCAAAAUCAAGAAUGAAGACACUGACCAGAAGCCACUAGCUUACUUAGUCAUCAUAAUGACCAACACUGUAUAUCAUCAUCCCCAUUCUACAGAUGAGAAAACUGAAACAGAGACAAGUUAAGUACCUUGCCAUUGGGCUCACAGAUGGCAAGUGGCAGAUUUGGACCGCACUGCAUUCUAAUCAACAUCCCUGCCAUGCACAGACGUCAUCCUCACCACAGCCAGCACGCCUCCUUCUCCACCUCUGCCAGGACCUUCACCACCACUACCAGUAUAAAAGUAUUGACUGAGCCUUCUGUUUGCUGGGCGCUUUGCGGAGUGCUCUGCAGAUUGUCUCAUGCUGUAUUCACAACAACCCUAUGUUACUGAUCCUGUUAUUACCUCUACCUCACAAAUGUGGAAACUAAGCUUCGGAGAAGCGAAGAAAUCUGUCCCUGCACCUGGUCAGAGGUCCGCAAGAUUCACGAUGUGUUUAAGAUCCGCAGCCAGUUUUGCCUGACACCUGUGAGAAUGCAUUUAACUCCUGCGCUCCCUUUUCAGGAGAUGGCAGGUGGAGGCAUUGCCCACUGGGCAUUUCGUCAAACUGGCUCCCUGCUCCUCACCCACCAUAUUGGAAGUUCGUUGCUAGGAUGUGAGAGACCACCCCGUGGAGCUGGGAUACGACUUUGCAUGUGGUAACUCUGCUACCAAACAAUGUGUAAGACCAGCUGCUGAGAUUCUGAGCUCUGGCCAAGUAACAUCCGGGAGCUUUGGCCUGACAUCUGCUGAAGCUGGCCUGUAAUUCUCUUUGGUUAAGCCCCAUGCACCCCAGGUCAGUCUCUUCUGAGACAUCACCAUCCUCACCAAAGCCCUCAGAUGUCCCCUCCAGUGUGUUCCGUUUGUUCUCCUUUGACUGAACACCAGCUCUGGGGGAAUGAAGGGGUGUCACAAAGAAUAUCAGGCUUGUUUUUCAAAACUUUCACACCUGUCCAUCUCUUCUGUCAACUCUCAGACCAGGUGACCAUCAUCACGUACCGGAAUUAUUACUGUGGCCUCCUACCUGCUUUCAAUCUUGUCCCCCUCUAAUCUAUUCUCCACAGAGCAGCCACACUGGUGUUUUUGAAGGCUAAGCUCAAUCAUAUCUGUCCUCUGCUUAGAGUUCUUAGUGUUAUUUCUCCUCCCUUUUAAUUUCUUUUGGAGUAAAAUCCAACCUUCCCCCCAUCAGUGCUUCUAAGCCCCUGUGGUUUCUUUCUGGCCCCUCUCUGCCUCUUUCCCUUCUCCCAUGGUGCUCCAGGUUCGCUGGCCUCUGCUCAGGUAACUGAGAACACCGAGCCAUGGUACGGCCGGCAUACAUACCCUCCGCCUCAGUAUGCCCGCUCUCUGCCACUCCAACCCCUGCCUCUUCCCAGCUUCCUCAUCUCAGCUUUAAUGUCACUUCCUCACAGACAGUCCUCUUCAUCCUUGAAUGCAACCCCCACUAUUUUCGGCGGACCCAACUUUUUUUUUUUUUUCUUUCAGAGCACUUACCACAACUUGCGAUACAAAUUUGUAUGGGGAUUGCCUGCUUAUUACCUGUCUUCCCCAGAAACCUGUAAGCUCCAUGAAGGAAAAUGAAGUUGGUUUCCUUGUCUCUGUACCCUCAGUGACUAACUCAAUUUCUGAGGCAGGAGCAGAGGCUAAAUAAAUAUUUGUUGAAUGAA
This is a non-coding RNA of Leptonychotes weddellii (Weddell seal), 2004 nucleotides long. Lineage: Eukaryota; Metazoa; Chordata; Mammalia; Carnivora; Phocidae. The record is from RefSeq and is a predicted model, not a curated record.